This 413-nucleotide RNase P RNA is filed under the name Halogranum amylolyticum. Its description in RNAcentral is "Archaeal RNase P". It matches the Rfam family "Archaeal RNase P". Rfam says of the family: Ribonuclease P (RNase P) is a ubiquitous endoribonuclease, found in archaea, bacteria and eukarya as well as chloroplasts and mitochondria. Its best characterised activity is the generation of mature 5'-ends of tRNAs by cleaving the 5'-leader elements of precursor-tRNAs. Lineage: Archaea; Methanobacteriati; Methanobacteriota; Halobacteria; Halobacteriales; Haloferacaceae. The record is from RNAcentral.
GGCAGAGAGAGCCCGACCCCCGUGCCCCGUUCUGCGGGGCAUGAGGAAAGUCCCCCCACCGUCCGGACAGGUGACCGGGCGCAAGCCCGGAGUCGGAGACGACUGGCUCUGGAACAGAAACGAGACCACUCGGCCCGACCGAUGAGACGUGCGAACCCGACCGCGAGGAAGGGGAGUUAACCCGUCGAGGGUCGCGAGAUGUGAUCAGCAUCUCCCCGUGUGCGGGCGUCACGCCCGCCACCGACGGCCGAGAACGGAUGGAACGGCGAAUCCUCGCCGGUGCAAGUCCGCGCCACGCGGCGGCCGAGGACACGAUUCGUGUGUCGUCGGCCGCCCGAAGGUAGUCCGGACGACGGACGCGGACGCUCAGCCGAAUGUCGGGAGGAACAGAAGGGGGCUUACUCCUCUCAGCC